Octodon degus (degu) is the source of this 726-nucleotide RNA transcript. It is a transcript of the gene named cellular nucleic acid-binding protein pseudogene, with no coding region annotated. The record is from RefSeq and is a predicted model, not a curated record. Lineage: Eukaryota; Metazoa; Chordata; Mammalia; Rodentia; Octodontidae. The transcript has a single exon.
AUGAGCAGCAAUGAGUGUUUCAAGUGUGAAUGAUCGGGCCACUGGGCCCGGGAAUUUCCUACUGGAGGAGGUUGUGGUUGUGGAAUGAGAAGCCGUGGCAGAGGUGGUUUUUAUCUCAGAUAGAGGUUUCCAGAUCUCUUUCACACAUCUUUUACCAUUGUGGUGAGUCUGGUCAUAGUACCAAGGAUUGUGAUCUUCAGGAAGAUGCCUGCUAUAACUGCAGUAGAGGUAGCCACAUUGCCAAGGACUGUAAGGAGCCAAAGAGAAAGUGGGAGAAGUGUUGCUACAGUUGUGGCAAACCAGGUCAUCUGGCUCAUGAUUGUGACCAUGUGGAUGAGCAGAAGUGCUAUUGUUGUGGAGAGUUUGGACACAUUCAGAAAGACUGCACCAAAGUGAAGUACUAUAGUUGAGGUGAGACUAGUCAGGUAGCCACCAAUUGCAGCAAGAUAAGUGAAGUCAACUGUUAUUGCUGUGGCAAGUCAGGGCAUCUUGUAUGGGAGUGCACAACUGAGGCCACAGUCUAAUUACUUUCCUUUGUUGCCCCUCCUUUUUCUGAUUGAUGGUCGUAUUAUUUUCUCUGAAUCCUCUUCACUGGCCAAAGGUUGGCAGAUAGAGGCUACUCCCUGGCCAGUGAGCUUUACUUGCCAUGUAAAAGGAGGAAAGGGGUGGGAAAAAAACCAAUUUUCUGCAUUUAACUACAAAUAAGUUUAUGUUUAGUUUGGUAGA